This 253-nucleotide ribosomal RNA is filed under the name uncultured bacterium. RNAcentral describes it as "partial 16S ribosomal RNA". It matches the Rfam family "Bacterial small subunit ribosomal RNA", at positions 524 to 776 of the family's 1533-position model. The record is from RNAcentral.
UACGUAGGGUGCGAGCGUUAAUCGGAAUUACUGGGCGUAAAGCGUGCGCAGGCGGUUUUGUAAGUCAGAUGUGAAAUCCCCGGGCUUAACCUGGGAAUGGCAUUUGGGACUGCAAGGCUCGAGUGCGGCAGAGGAGACUGGAAUUCCUGGUGUAGCAGUGAAAUGCGUAGAUAUCAGGAGGAACACCGAUGGCGAAGGCAGGUCUCUGGGCUGACACUGACGCUCAGGCACGAAAGCGUGGGGAGCAAACAGG